This 85-nucleotide transfer RNA is filed under the name Felis catus (domestic cat). It matches the Rfam family "tRNA". From Rfam's summary of the family: Transfer RNA (tRNA) molecules are approximately 80 nucleotides in length. Their secondary structure includes four short double-helical elements and three loops (D, anti-codon, and T loops). RNAcentral also lists the same sequence under 3 other names. The record is from Rfam by way of RNAcentral. Lineage: Eukaryota; Metazoa; Chordata; Mammalia; Carnivora; Felidae.
UCCUGGGUGGCUCAGUGGGUUGAGCAUCUGACUUUGGCUCAGGUCAUGAUCUUGCAGUUUGUGAGUUCGAGCCCCACAUCAGGGU